RNAcentral lists this ribosomal RNA (253 nucleotides) under uncultured bacterium. RNAcentral describes it as "partial 16S ribosomal RNA". It matches the Rfam family "Bacterial small subunit ribosomal RNA", at positions 524 to 776 of the family's 1533-position model. The record is from RNAcentral.
UACGAGGGGUGCAAGCGUUGCUCGGAAUUAUUGGGCGUAAAGGGUAGGUAGGUGGUCUCGUUUGUCUGGGGUGAAAGCCUUGAGCUCAACUCAAGAAGUGCCUUAGAAACGGCGAGACUAGAGUCCUGGAGAGGGUCGUGGAAUUCCCGGUGUAGCGGUGAAAUGCGUAGAGAUGUGGAGGAACACCGAUGGCGAAGGCAGCCUCCUGGGCCAGCACUGACGCUCAUGCACGAAAGCGUGGGGAGCAAACAGG